AGCAGUCUAAUUCUAUCAUUGUAGCAAUAUGGAUACUAAUAUAGGCUGGGUAUACAAGAGUAGGUACUAUUAUGUUGACACUUCAACAACUUUGGUAUUGAUAUGUGUAUGACGUAUGUGCAUAUGAGUCCAUCGUUGGGUAUACAAGGUGUAGAGAUGUUUUUGAUAUCAAGAAAGUGAAACCUCCAACUGGCAUUCCAAAAUCUAUGUUUAUGGCUACGCCAGAUGGUCCUUAUGCAUUACGCAGUGGUGCAGCGGCACUUUUGAAACCGAAUGAUUAUGUUGUUCGUUUUUACAUCCCAUGCUACACUUUUCCACAUGUUUUGUAAUCUUUAUGUGUAUAAGCUAAUUAUGUUUUAUAAAUUUGUUAUAACAGGUAUGCUUUUGAGAAGGAGAUUGAAGGUAUGCCUUCUACUUGCACAAUUGGUGAUCUCCCAUCAGGACACUUCACUGCUCUUUACGCACAGAGGUGAUGAAAGAUGUUGUUCGAACAAGCAAACGUUGUUUCAAAAGUUUCUAUGAUAAAUGUAACUUUUUUUGGCCCUUAGAUGGUAUAUGAGACCCCAUGAUCAAUAAAUCAGUCUAUGUAUGUGGUGUAACAAAUGUGCUAUAAGAUGAUUUUUUACCCAAUAAGACGGUACGGGAUACAAUAAACCGAAUACUGGAGUCAAAUAAUAGCAGUGCCGAAAAUGGUGGAAGUGCUUAUCAUGUUCAAGGAUCUUCUAAGUAUGUUUCUGAGAAGACAAGUGAGGUGUGAAGCUUGGCAUCUAAGGUGGGUCAGGCGACAGG
Helianthus annuus (common sunflower) is the source of this 789-nucleotide long non-coding RNA. RefSeq lists it as uncharacterized. Lineage: Eukaryota; Viridiplantae; Streptophyta; Magnoliopsida; Asterales; Asteraceae. The record is from RefSeq and is a predicted model, not a curated record. The transcript has 3 exons.